AGCGGUUUGACAUCUUUUCACAUCUUUUUCAAUACGAGAAAAAUUAAUUCAGAGUUCUUCAAAAUAUGAACAUUUUUUGACAGGUAAAACUUUUCAGAUAAACUUUUUCAAUGAAAAUAGAAGCAUUCAUUCCACAGAAAAGUUUUCUCAGGGGAAAGCCAUUUAAUCACAAGCUAUAUAUAACACAGGAAAUAGCAUCCUUUGUUGAAUCACUAGCUGCCACAAAGAGUCCUCAGUUUUCUAUAGUGGUCCUGUCCCUGCUGAGAGUGAGAGAUUCCUCAUGUCCGUGGCCCUGCAAAGGUUUAAAUUAAACCUACCUCACACACAUUGUGGGAGGCUGAAUUUAAUUUAAUGGCUUCAGCCCAAAAUCCAGAGGGAUACAUGUUCUCUGAAGACACUUCCACAAGACAAUUUGAUGAAAAUGCUUCCAAUCUGAGAAGUGCUAGCCUGGGAACCAGGAGCAUCCUUCAGAAACACAGCUGGACUCUUGAGCUGCGGGCAGAGAGUGAGCUGGUGACUCUGUGGUGGUUGGCUGCCUACAAGGGUCAAAU
RNAcentral lists this long non-coding RNA (551 nucleotides) under Gallus gallus (chicken). Its description in RNAcentral is "lncRNA (ENSGALG00010025977.1)". Lineage: Eukaryota; Metazoa; Chordata; Aves; Galliformes; Phasianidae. The record is from RNAcentral.